AUGAAUUGUAUAAGUUGGAACUGUCGGGGGGCGGCCAACAAACCGACAGAUCGUGACUUAGUUGGCAUGGUGAAAUCUACGAAAGCAAAAAUUGUUUUUCUGUGUGAGACUAUGCAAAGUUCAGACAAAGUCAAGCGUUUGUGUGGGAGAUUAGGUUUAAGGGGCUUCUCUGGAGUUAGUAGUGUUGGUUUGAGUGGAGGCCUUGCCCUCUUU
RNAcentral lists this ribosomal RNA (213 nucleotides) under Triticum aestivum (bread wheat). RNAcentral describes it as "partial small subunit ribosomal RNA". The record is from RNAcentral. Lineage: Eukaryota; Viridiplantae; Streptophyta; Magnoliopsida; Poales; Poaceae.